Small nucleolar RNA from Tachyglossus aculeatus (Australian echidna), 138 nucleotides. Lineage: Eukaryota; Metazoa; Chordata; Mammalia; Monotremata; Tachyglossidae. The record is from RefSeq and is a predicted model, not a curated record.
CCCCUCUCAGGGUGGCCCCAGGGGAGUUUCCAGUACUCUGCCAGUCUCGGCUAUGGGAGGGAGAGUCAAGCAGAGGCAUAGCCAUUCUAUUCCUAGCUUGGCCUGUGGCUAGCGAGUGGAAGGCAAUGUGCUACAAGU